GUAACGAGCGCAACCCUGUCCUUAGUUACCAGCACGUUAUGGUGGGCGACUCUAAGGAGACUGCCGGUGGACAAACCGGAGGAAGGUGGGGAGUGACGUCAAGUCAUCAUGGCCCUUACGGCCUGGGCUACACACGUGCUACAAUGGUCGGUACAAAGGGUUGCCAAGCCGCGAGGUGGAGCUAAUCCCAUAAAACCGAUCGUAGUCCGGAUCGCAGUCUGCAGCUCGACUGCGUGAAGUCGGAAUCGCUAGUAAUCGUGAAUCAGAAUGUCACGGUGAAUACGUUCCCGGGCCUU
RNAcentral lists this ribosomal RNA (296 nucleotides) under uncultured Pseudomonas sp. RNAcentral's name for it is "partial 16S ribosomal RNA". It matches the Rfam family "Bacterial small subunit ribosomal RNA", at positions 1089 to 1382 of the family's 1533-position model. Lineage: Bacteria; Pseudomonadati; Pseudomonadota; Gammaproteobacteria; Pseudomonadales; Pseudomonadaceae. The record is from RNAcentral.